Molecule: non-coding RNA, 131 nt
Organism: Chiloscyllium plagiosum (whitespotted bambooshark)
Lineage: Eukaryota; Metazoa; Chordata; Chondrichthyes; Orectolobiformes; Hemiscylliidae
Source: RefSeq, a predicted model, not a curated record
GUUGUUUACAAGCACCUAGAAUAAUCCCUGGUGUUGUAUGUCAUUGGCACAGUGUCAGCUUGUGAUGUUUGUGAAACACUGAGCUUGAAACUCAGGACCCUGAAUAUCUGUACUGGAAUUUUACAUUCUCG